Molecule: ribosomal RNA, 468 nt
Filed under: uncultured bacterium
Lineage: Bacteria
Description: partial 16S ribosomal RNA
Rfam family: Bacterial small subunit ribosomal RNA
Source: RNAcentral
GACGCACCCUGGCGGCGCGCUUAACACAUGCAAGCCGAACGGAAAGGCCAUGCUUUUGUGGGGUGCUCGAGUGGCGAACGGGUCAGUAACACGUGAGUAACCUGCCCUUGACUUUGGGAUAACUUCAGGAAAAUGGGGCUAAUACCGGAUAGGAGCUCCUGCUGCAUGGUGGGGGUUGGAAAGUUUCGGCGGUUGGGGAUGGACGCGCGGCUUAUCAGCUUGUUGGUGGGGUAGUGGCUUACCAAGGCUUUGACGGGUAGCCGGCCUGAGAGCGUGACCGGGCGGAGUGGCACUGCUCUAGGGGCGACACUCGUACGGGAGGCAGCAACGGGGCAUAGCGUGCAUCGGGCGGAGGCCUCUUGCGGCACCGCCGUGUGCGUGAUGGCGGCCUUCGGGCUGUAGCCCGCUUUUACGGGUCGCGGAGGCUGCGUGCCGGUACUGCAUAAAGAAGGACGGGCUAAAUCCGUG